RNAcentral lists this ribosomal RNA (545 nucleotides) under Anaplasma phagocytophilum. RNAcentral's name for it is "bacterial SSU rRNA". It matches the Rfam family "Bacterial small subunit ribosomal RNA", at positions 65 to 637 of the family's 1533-position model. The record is from RNAcentral. Lineage: Bacteria; Pseudomonadati; Pseudomonadota; Alphaproteobacteria; Rickettsiales; Anaplasmataceae.
AACGGAUUAUUCUUUAUAGCUUGCUAUAGAGAAUAGUUAGUGGCAGACGGGUGAGUAAUGCAUAGGAAUCUACCUAGUAGUAUGGGAUAGCCACUAGAAAUGGUGGGUAAUACUGUAUAAUCCCUGCGGGGGAAAGAUUUAUCGCUAUUAGAUGAGCCUAUGUUAGAUUAGCUAGUUGGUAGGGUAAAGGCCUACCAAGGCGAUGAUCUAUAGCUGGUCUGAGAGGAUGAUCAGCCACACUGGAACUGAGAUACGGUCCAGACUCCUACGGGAGGCAGCAGUGGGGAAUAUUGGACAAUGGGCGCAAGCCUGAUCCAGCUAUGCCGCGUGAGUGAGGAAGGCCUUAGGGUUGUAAAACUCUUUCAGUAGGGAAGAUAAUGACGGUACCUACAGAAGAAGUCCCGGCAAACUCCGUGCCAGCAGCCGCGGUAAUACGGAGGGGGCAAGCGUUGUUCGGAAUUAUUGGGCGUAAAGGGCAUGUAGGCGGUUCGGUAAGUUAAAGGUGAAAUGCCAGGGCUUAACCCUGGAGCUGCUUUUAAACUGCC